CAGUAGCCGCGGGAAUACGUAGGGUGCGAGCGUUAAUCGGAAUUACUGGGCGUAAAGCGUGCGCAGGCGGUGCUGCAAGACCGAUGUGAAAGCCCCGGGCUUAACCUGGGAACUGCAUUGGUGACUGCAGCGCUGGAGUAUGGCAGAGGGGGGUGGAAUUCCACGUGUAGCAGUGAAAUGCGUAGAGAUGUGGAGGAACACCGAUGGCGAAGGCAGCCCCCUGGGCCAAUACUGACGCUCAUGCACGAAAGCGUGGGGAGCAAACAGGAUUAGAUACCCCCGUAGUCCCUGUCUCUUAUAC
This 301-nucleotide ribosomal RNA is filed under the name uncultured bacterium. RNAcentral describes it as "partial 16S ribosomal RNA". It matches the Rfam family "Bacterial small subunit ribosomal RNA", at positions 509 to 807 of the family's 1533-position model. The record is from RNAcentral.